GACAGAGGUGGCGAGCGUUGUUCGGAUUGAUUGGGUGUAAAGGGUGCGUAGGCGGUUCGGAAAGUCGGAUGUGAAAUCCAAUGGCUCAACCAUUGAAUUGCAUUCGAAACUUCCGAACUCGAGUGCGAGAGAGGUGAAGGGAAUUCCCGGUGUAAGGGUGAAAUCUGUAGAGAUCGGGAGGAACACCAGUAGCGAAGGCGCUUCACUGGCUCGUAACUGACGCUGAGUGCACGAAAGCGUGGGGAGCAAACGGG
Molecule: ribosomal RNA, 254 nt
Filed under: uncultured bacterium
Lineage: Bacteria
Description: partial 16S ribosomal RNA
Rfam family: Bacterial small subunit ribosomal RNA
Source: RNAcentral